AUUGAACGCUGGCGGAAUGCUUUACACAUGCAAGUCGAACGGCAGCGCGGGGGCAACCCUGGCGGCGAGUGGCGAACGGGUGAGUAAUACAUCGGAACGUGCCCAGUCGUGGGGGAUAACGUAGCGAAAGCUACGCUAAUACCGCAUACGAUCUGAGGAUGAAAGCGGGGGACCUUCGGGCCUCGCGCGAUUGGAGCGGCCGAUGGCAGAUUAGGUAGUUGGGGGGGUAAAGGCUCACCAAGCCUGCGAUCUGUAGCUGGUCUGAGAGUACGACCAGCCGCACUGUGACUGAGACACGGCCCAGACUCCUACGGGAGGCAGCAGUGGGGAAUUUUGGACAAUGGGCGCAAGCCUGAUCCAGCCAUUCCGCGUGCAGGAUGAAGGCCUUCGGGUUGUAAACUGCUUUUGUACGGAACGAAACGACCUUCUCUAAUACAGGGGGUUAAUGACGGUACCGUAAGAAUAAGCACCGGCUAACUACGUGCCAGCAGCCGCGGUAA
RNAcentral lists this ribosomal RNA (500 nucleotides) under uncultured bacterium. Its description in RNAcentral is "partial 16S ribosomal RNA". It matches the Rfam family "Bacterial small subunit ribosomal RNA", at positions 30 to 523 of the family's 1533-position model. The record is from RNAcentral.